RNAcentral lists this transfer-messenger RNA (369 nucleotides) under Roseibium sp. It matches the Rfam family "Alphaproteobacteria transfer-messenger RNA". Rfam says of the family: Bacterial tmRNA, also known as 10Sa RNA or SsrA, is named for its dual tRNA and mRNA-like properties. Its role is to liberate the mRNA from a stalled ribosome. The record is from RNAcentral. Lineage: Bacteria; Pseudomonadati; Pseudomonadota; Alphaproteobacteria; Hyphomicrobiales; Stappiaceae.
CCCCUUUCAAUCAACGUCCAAACCGCCUAUAUCUGAAGGGCUGGUCUCCAGCUAUGGCAAUAAACGGUCAGUGCAAUAAGCCUAUCGGACCCGGGGGCGGUACCCGGCGCCUCCACCCAAACACACGGAUGUCCGUCAUAUAUGACGUGUGUUUCGGCGGGGGCGAAAUAGGAUCGACGAGGGUGUAAAGACUGCGCUUUUGCUCGGCAUUGUACCACCGUUAUCGGGCUAUCUUAAUAGUUGCAAACGACAACUAUGCUAUGGACAACGCUGUUGCUGCGUAAUGCGGCACCAGUCGUCCUUUAAAGUCCUGCUGGGUUAGCUCCGGCAGGCGGGGUUCGGAGGCGCCUGGCAACAGAAGCCUCCACU